AGGAACCUCCUUCUUCUUCCUGCCCCUAGGUCACACUCUUCCCGCUAGCUUCACCUCCUUUACUUUGCUUGGCCCAAACAUUAUUUUCCUUUCUUUUUCAAAGCUCAAAACAUAUAUCUUCACUUCAAAGAGAAACCAGGACUCCAAAAAUGGUUGAGUUCAUUUUGUCCAAGCUUAGAUCUGCCAUCUCAUAUCUGCACGACAACAUCUCAGAUCUGCACUAAAGCAUCUGAGAUCUGCCUUUCGUCAUCGUGUCCUCACGUCG
Molecule: long non-coding RNA, 265 nt
Filed under: Vigna radiata
Lineage: Eukaryota; Viridiplantae; Streptophyta; Magnoliopsida; Fabales; Fabaceae
Description: long non-coding RNA (VRAD_LNC010244)
Source: RNAcentral